Molecule: non-coding RNA, 94 nt
Organism: Recurvomyces mirabilis
Lineage: Eukaryota; Fungi; Ascomycota; Dothideomycetes; Mycosphaerellales; Teratosphaeriaceae
Source: the annotation of a RefSeq genome assembly
AGAUUCGAAGCUCAGUGGUAGAGCGCCAGUCUUCUCGCUCCCGUUUGGGGGUUCGAAUCGCUGGGGGUCGUCAGUUCAAUCCUGACCGAAUCUG